RNAcentral lists this ribosomal RNA (489 nucleotides) under uncultured marine eukaryote. RNAcentral's name for it is "SSU rRNA". It matches the Rfam family "Eukaryotic small subunit ribosomal RNA", at positions 41 to 565 of the family's 1831-position model. The record is from RNAcentral.
AGACUAAGCCAUGCAUGUCUAAGUAUAAGCAAUUAUACAGCGAAACUGCGAAUGGCUCAUUAAAACAGUUAUAGUUUAUUUGGUAACUCAAAUUACAUGGAUAACCGUGGAAAUUCUAGAGCUAAUACAUGCAUAAAGGGCCUACCGCUCGUAUUUAUUAGAUAACAGACCAAUUUAAAGGUGACUCAUAGUAACUGAUCGAAUCGCCGGCUUAUGCUGCGAUAAAUCAUUCAAGUUUCUGCCCCAUCAGCUGUAGAUGGUAGUGUAUUGGACUACCAUGGCUUUCACGGGUAACGGAGGAUUAGGGUUCGAUUCCGGAGAGGGAGCCUGAGAAACGGCUACCACACCUAAGGAAGGCAGCAGGCGCGUAAAUUACCCAAUACUGAUUCAGUGAGGUAGUGACAAGAAAUAGCGGGCGGACUUUUGUCCGGACUGAAAUGAUUAGAAUUUAACGACCUUUACGAGGAACAAUUGGAGGGCAAGUCUGGU